Setaria italica (foxtail millet) is the source of this 2207-nucleotide long non-coding RNA. RefSeq lists it as uncharacterized. The record is from RefSeq and is a predicted model, not a curated record. NCBI's taxonomy places the organism in Eukaryota, Viridiplantae, Streptophyta, Magnoliopsida, Poales, Poaceae. The transcript has 2 exons.
GGUCAAACCGACGUUUUCUGCCUUAGCCUCCUCUACCUGUUGCACGACGCGCUGCAGGCCUCGGUCGCCGGCGAGCCACGACGCCGCCACGCGCCGGCUUCCGCGGCCAGCACUGCACGGCUCUGCGGGUCAGUCAACUCCCACUUGCUCUGCGUACCCAUGCCGCGCCCAUGCCUUGCCAUGCCGACGACGUCACGCCGGUACUCCGACGCCACUGCUCUGGCCGUCCUCGCGUUGUCCUUGCCGCUGCUCACUGCCAGCUCCUCACCCGUGCCUUCUCCGCUAUCCAGAGCACAGAGAUCGUCAGCGCCACUUCCUUCCCUGCCUUCUUGCAAGUGGAACAAGGCCUGUUGUCUCUCUCUGUCUUCCCUCUCGUUCUUUCUUCUCCCUCUGUGCAAGAACGAGCAGACCUCACAGGUCACCGCCGGCCAAAAUACUCCAGCCACAAGCCACCAACUCUAAAUCCCUCUCACCCCAGGAUCCUACACAUCUCUGGCUCCCUUCUCAUCCAAGCCUCGUUGAACCCAAACGAAUCCCGUGCCGUGAAUGUCAAAUCUCACGGCCGUGGGUCGCAGUCGCCGCCGAGCACUUCCGUCUUCCGGCCUCCGUCUUCGCUGUCCAACGCUUCAAACCGUAUUCACGUGACAGCUCCUUGCGUGCACGGCCCUCUUGGCCAGGACGUAGUCGCCGCCGCCGCCGCAUGCACCUCCGCCAUGGCCGCCUCCAUGGUGAGCUCCAAGCAGCGCGAACCAGUGAGAACUGGGGAGCGCAUCGAUCACCUCUGCUGUAGAUGCUUGCGUUCUUUGUUGUAGUUCAAAUCAUGCUGGGUCGCCGGUUUUCGUGGCCGCCGGUGAGCUUCCGUGCGUCCAUCCGCAGGCCACGGCCAGGACCUAUCCAUGCUCACAGGCUGCUCUUGGAGCUCCUAUACAGACGCUAAGCCCACCAAUCCCCUCAUCGUGUGCCUUGUGCAGCCCGUCAUCGAGUGCAAAGCAUGGCCAAGGAGCAGGUGCAGGCCUAGCACUCUGCUUGUAUGCACGCUUUGGUGAAGAGAUGACCAAAGCUAGUUAGUUUCCUUCGUGUCAACACUUGUGCGUGCUUGAUUCUGUGAAAUUCCUAGAAAAAUAAUGGUAGCUCUAAAAAUCAUGAAACCAACUAUCAUAUCUUUGUAUCGUUAUUCCUUACAUUAUGCAAAUGCAGUUUCUCAUGAAAUGUUUGUCCAUUUGUUUUUGGUUUAUUUGUGUGUGAUGAAUAAAUUGUUAAAUGAAUGGUUAAUUCUCUGUUGCUUGAAGUCCUAUGAGAUAAAUCAUGUUAGUUCCCUUGACGCAUAAUCUAUCCAAUACCAUCAACUAUUGUUGUGACUUUAUGUGAUAACGUUGCACAGAUAAAAUCUGCUAUGACUCAUGAAUAGCUUUGAACUGGUAGUUUUCGCUAAAUAGUGGUUAAGUUUUUAUUUAUUUAUUCGUUCAUCAAUAGUUCAUAAGAUGCCAACAAUUAGUGAAGCCAACUCUAUGUGUGUUCUUAAAUCUGUUUUGAAGAGGGAAAGUAUUUUUUAGUAUGUUUAGGCAAGGCCGAAUGCUCUUAUCUGUGAUUAAAUUAUUUUUGCCUACUUAAUUUAUCUCAUAUCCAAAGUUAGUUCAGGCUCCAGGUGAGAUGUGCUUAUGCCUAAUUAAUCCGUACUAAAUGAUUGUACCACUAAGAUGCUGAAAUCACUUCUUUUAGUCCACCUGCCAUGCUGAGCUACCUAUUUCUGUGUAGUUAGCUUGUUUGCCUGCUCAACUGUCCGGUCAAAAAUCUUAAAUUGUAUUCGCUCACUCGCAUUGCAUCUCUGCAUUCAUGUAGGAACCGCAGUAGAUGACGUAGCGGAGGAGCAGGUGCAGGAGGAGUCCUAGCACAAGCAGUCCGAAGACCUGGCCCAAGGUCUGGAAGGGCUAAGGCCUCGAAAGAACUAACCACGAACAUUUGGAAGGCAAACGCUACAACGAGGUGCCGCUGCUCUGUGAUAUCAUAUCGGUGGGCUCAAUGUGAUGUCUUCUUCUCGGCGUCGCUUUCACUUUGUAGUUAGAUGACCGCUAUUUGUGUUUUAAACUUUACUCCAGUUGCACCUUUCAAAUCUACAUAUUAUUCUUGUACUUGAACUCUUUUUGUAAACUUUUGUAUCAUCCGUAUGUUGUAUCACUUAUUUUGUGUAAAAGCUGCUACGUUUGUAC